UGGGGUGUAGCCAAGCGGUAAGGCAGCAGGUUUUGAUCCUGUGCACCGUAGGUUCGAAUCCUACCACCCCAGCCA
RNAcentral lists this transfer RNA (75 nucleotides) under Candidatus Venteria ishoeyi. RNAcentral describes it as "Thiotrichales bacterium HS_08 tRNA-Gln(ttg)". It matches the Rfam family "tRNA". Rfam says of the family: Transfer RNA (tRNA) molecules are approximately 80 nucleotides in length. Their secondary structure includes four short double-helical elements and three loops (D, anti-codon, and T loops). Lineage: Bacteria; Pseudomonadati; Pseudomonadota; Gammaproteobacteria; Thiotrichales; Thiotrichaceae. The record is from RNAcentral.